CCUACGGGGGGCUGCAGUGAGGGAUUUUCGGCAAUGGGCGCAAGCCUGACCGAGCAACGCCGCGUGCGGGAUGACGCCCUUCGGGGUGUAAACCGCUUUUCCCGGGGACGAAGAUGACGGUACCCGGGGAAUCAGCCUCGGCUAACUACGUGCCAGCAGCCGCGGUAAGACGUAGGAGGCGAGCGUUGUCCGGAGUCACUGGGCGUAAAGGGCGCGUAGGCGGCCACGCGCGCCGGGGGUGAAAGGCCGCGGCUCAACCGCGGGACGGCCUCCGGGACGGCGUGGCUGGGGGGCGGCAGGGGCGGGCGGAAUUCCCGGUGUAGUGGUGAAAUGCGUAGAUAUCGGGAGGAACACCCGCAGCGAAGGCGGCCCGCUGGGCCGACCCCGACGCUGAGGCGCGAAGGCCAGGGGAGCGAACGGGCUUAGAUACCCUGGUAGUC
Molecule: ribosomal RNA, 440 nt
Filed under: uncultured Thermomicrobia bacterium
Lineage: Bacteria; Pseudomonadati; Thermomicrobiota; Thermomicrobia
Description: bacterial SSU rRNA
Rfam family: Bacterial small subunit ribosomal RNA
Source: RNAcentral